CUGUGCUCGUCCGUCGAACGGCCGGCAGGCAAUCCGUGUCGCUUGUUGUGGGGUGGGAUGGUGCCUCAGAGGCUGGUUCUUGUGUUGCCUACCAUUCAUGGGAAGAGGCCGCUUGACAGUUAGCCUCCAUCCGGCGCCCUCCCCAACGGGGCGCAGGAGGACAACGAAGCACCCCUCGUGUUCCACCGAGCCUUCACCGGUCGCGUGGCGCACGGGGACGUGCAAUGCUCUCGGACCCAGCGCACGCCGCGGACGUGGACUCGAUUCCCGUCCUAAGAGAAGCUUCGGUAUAAUGUAUGACGGCCGCUCUCGCCCCUUGGCCGCCACCGCGGUGCAAGGGCGACGCGCGACGUCGCGGAGGAUUGCUACCUGGUUGAUCCUGCCAGCAGUCAUAUGCUUGUCUCAAAGAUUAA
Molecule: unclassified non-coding RNA, 413 nt
Filed under: Thailentadopsis tenuis
Lineage: Eukaryota; Viridiplantae; Streptophyta; Magnoliopsida; Fabales; Fabaceae
Description: partial external transcribed spacer
Source: RNAcentral